Molecule: ribosomal RNA, 448 nt
Filed under: uncultured organism
Description: partial 16S ribosomal RNA
Rfam family: Bacterial small subunit ribosomal RNA
Source: RNAcentral
UACACUCCUGCGGGAGGCAGCAGUGGGGAAUAUUGGACAAUGGGCGCAAGCCUGAUCCAGCCAUGCCGCGUGAGUGAUGAAGGCCCUAGGGUUGUAAAGCUCUUUCACCGGUGAAGAUAAUGACGGUAACCGGAGAAGAAGCCCCGGCUAACUUCGUGCCAGCAGCCGCGGUAAUACGAAGGGGGCUAGCGUUGUUCGGAUUUACUGGGCGUAAAGCGCACGUAGGCGGACUAUUAAGUCAGGGGUGAAAUCCCGGGGCUCAACCCCGGAACUGCCUUUGAUACUGGUAGUCUUGAGUUCGAGAGAGGUGAGUGGAAUUCCGAGUGUAGAGGUGAAAUUCGUAGAUAUUCGGAGGAACACCAGUGGCGAAGGCGGCUCACUGGCUCGAUACUGACGCUGAGGUGCGAAAGCGUGGGGAGCAAACAGGAUUAGAAACCCCAGUAGUCCC